Molecule: long non-coding RNA, 304 nt
Filed under: Ananas comosus (pineapple)
Lineage: Eukaryota; Viridiplantae; Streptophyta; Magnoliopsida; Poales; Bromeliaceae
Description: long non-coding RNA (ACOM_LNC028432)
Source: RNAcentral
AGUGAGCUGAGGCCGACUUGUUUCAUAAACACGUCGAUCUUAAACUGGCUCAUUAAAAUACUGAACCAAAAACUUCAGCUCAUAUUCAACUCAUUUAUUAACGAGCCGAGCUAGCUCACAAAUAAUAAAUUUUAUUUAUAUAUAUAUAUAUAUAUAUAGAGUGAGGCUACUAUGCUAUCGGAAACACGGAGCCUUCCGUGCUUCCAGCUCGUUUUCGAUGUUGCGACUUUCGAAUCGUCGAUCGGCUCCGUUAAACUUGAUCUAGAGUAUUUGGAGUACCUAGAAAAUAAAUUUUAUUAUUUUU